UCUCUCUCUCUCUCUCUCUCUCUCUCUCACACACACACACACACACACACACACACACACACACACUCACCAUCCCUCUGUGCCUCUCCUAACUGCACCAUCCUUCUCUUCUCUUCUGGUAGUGUUACUAUCGUAGUGCCCCUUAUCUCUCCACCUCUCAGAUGGUAUCUGCCCUCCCACCACUAUGUCUGCUUUUCUCCCUGCCAAUGUCACCCCUGCCCAGAAGGCUAGGAUUCUGCCCUUUGGGGACAUUCCAGGCAAAUGGGCCUUCACACCUCUCCUCUGCUUUGUCAUCCAGAGUGCCACCUGCCUGAUCACAGAGAAUCCUCAGGACUGCAGGGAUGAGACAUCCUGUGCAAAAGAGUUGGACCCACCAGAAUGCACAGAAGGUAGACUCUGCUCCACUUUUCCACCUGCUCCUUGUCCCCCUGGAACCUUCCUCUCUGGAGCGGGUUACCACAAUACCUCCUUCUGUGACCUCUGGCCUCCUGGGUUCUUCAAGCCCUGGCCUGGCCAGGAUGCCUGUUUCCCCUAUGGCUCAGAGGUCACCCAGCCAGAGAAGGAAAAGGACACCUGUGUCUGCCAUGGGCCUGGGAGAGUGUUCCAGCCCAGUGACAGUCAGUGCCCCUGCCUCCCAGGCUGCCAAGACAUUGGCAAGCCCAUGGGUUGUGUCCAGCGGGAACACAAAAGCUGCCAAGAUGGGGCCACUUGGAACCAGGAGGGCCUAUGUUUGACCAAAGAUCAGUGGACUGACCACUGUGCCCAUGAGGUGUGUGCCAUACCAAGAGAUGCCCAUGGCUAUGACCCAGACGUAGGACUCUGCUUGUGCUGGGGACAAUACUCAAGUGGAAUGUGUGGCCCCCUGUGCCUAGAAGAACAGAAACAUGUCCUGCAACUCAGCUGCCCUGAUGGCAUCCCACAGACUUUCAUCACUGAAGGUGUUGGGAGCCAGGGGCCACUUCUACAAUACACUGGAGCAGUUUGACUGGGGGUGCUUUUGGUUCCUGGCCGAGGAAUCUCCACUCUCUGAGCAAGGGACCCACCUCUUUCUGCAGCAGUUCCAGCUGCCUGGGGUCUACAUUUUUCAUCUGAGCAACAACCGGCAUUGGAAGAUGGUUUGUCUAUGAUGGUUUGCCUCGUUUGAGACCUUAUUCCUUUUCCUCCUCUUUAAAAAAAAUAAAACCACAUAAUAACCACCUUAGAUAGAUCUUCAGGCAAAUUAAUGCCCUAGAUGUCUCCACUUAAGUUUCAGGGUCUCACACUCCUAACAGAUGAUUCUGAGGACACCAAGCUUCCCUCCAUAGCAGCCCAAAAAGUGAUAUGCAAAAAGAGGAUUGUGAGGACAAAUACUCAAAUGUGCCUAAAGGAUAUCAGUGGUAACAAAUGGCUUAGGACCUCCGGUUCUCACAAGCCCUGUACUUUAUCUUCCCCUCCCACCCUUCUCCUAUCCUGAAGGCACAUAUCCCAAGACCAUCUACAUAAUAAUUUAUCUCUAUGACCCACACAUUAUGCCUCCACUGAUCCAGGUGCUUUGUCUACGUCACCCAAGGAACUUAAUAUAUUAGCCUAUUAGCAUGUCAUCUAAUAGGCUGUACUGACCUAGCCCUGGAAUAUAUAGUCAGCUCCCCCUAUAAAUAGUCAUUUGAUACAUAUGAGUUUCCCAGGAAAACCCAGAUUCCACACACCCCCACACACAGUCCCAGGUCUACACAACAAUCUGGACUAUUUGGUUAGUGUUGACAUGCCUGGAUUGCCACUCUGUCCUCUCGUAAGUCUCUGAUAGACAGACAAAGAAUGAACAGACUUCUUUCCAUGCAGUACCUCUGCACUCUUCCACCUGGGGGCCAAUGCUUUGGAGAUGGGCCUUUGCCUUCACAACCCCUAGGUAUCUCAUCCAGACUGGUAUCGUCAAGAUCCCCAGUGCCCUGAAGAGGUCUGACUGGCCAGAAGUCCUGGGGGAGAUCGUGCUGCUCCUGAGACUCUGCCUGGUUUUGUUGUUUCAGUAUCACCAGCUCAGCUGGGCUCGGAGGGCCACCCCUUAUCCAACCUACAGUAUCUAUCAGCAAGGAUACAACCUUGAUGCAUACACUUCUCCAAGAACUGGGAUGAUUUCAGUAAGAAGAGGCCAAUCUCAACAAGAUUCUGAUGCUCCCAGACAUGAGGGAGGCCAUGGUUGGAGUUAGGAGGCUGAGAAGCAGGUGGACAUGGAGUGGUUUGACACAGAAGCCUUCUUUGAGAUCCUGCUCCUGAUCACUGCUCUGGCAGUGACAACCAAACUCAGCCAAACCAAGGAGGAGGGUAGUUCCCCAGAUGGACACUGUGCUGGAUCACCUGUCCCAGGCCUUACUGCAGGAGGGCCAUUGCCUAAAGGCCUGGGGAUUCCUAGGCAAUGGCAUUGGGGCAGAGCUGCUGAGGCCAGCCUUGGCAGACCCUCAAGGGGGCACUGAUGACAUCAGAGUGAAUCCAGUCACCAAGUUGCUGGUCCCUGGCCCUAACUGUGCCAUGCUUCCAGCCAAUGGCCAUGCAGGGCCCAUACCUCCUGGCUACUUCAUUCACCCUGACACUGGGUGUGUGCUGCCUGAGGCUAGACACCUGGGAUAUGACCUACUGAAUGCUACCUUGGUGCCUACUACUGAUUCUAAUACUGGUGAGACCUUUGCCCACUAACUUGCCCCCAUCUUGCUUUGAGGUGCAGAGAUGGGGCAGAGCUCCCUGAGGCCCUCAGGAAUGAACUCCCUGGAACCAGGCUUUUGUCCUUCAACAAAAGAGCAGUAAAUACUUUCGCCCCCUCCUCACCUUAAUGUUCCUUAUGGAUGUCAAGGGUCCCAUGAGUGAAAAGAGAUCCUCAAUGAAAAAAAGCGGGUGCCAUAGCUCCUCUCUGCCAAAAUCUGCAGGCAAGGAAGGGAGGCUGCUGUUUUAAGGGGUACUAACAACCUCCCUGUCUCCCUGUCCAGGUGGCGUCUGAACAUCAGAAGCUGCCAUCAUCCCCUAUGUGCCCUACCCAACUUGUUCUACCACAGGUUCCCUUCCAGCCAUGGAUCUGCCCAUCCUGCAGCCACGAAGAACGUCACAGCUGGGGGCACUCAUGACCAAUCCUAUAAUGGGCAUUGAAGUGCCCGUGUUAGCUGUGACUCUGCACCCCCAAACAAGGCAGUGGCUCACCCUUGGGGGGACAUACAGCAAUCCUCUCACCAAAACAUUGGCCCCUCUUGAGUUGGGAGGCCCUAUGGAGGAUCCAGUCACAGGAGGCAUCUCACCAAUCCUUAGAGUUGGAUUGGAUGAAAACACAGGUCUUCUGGCAGCCCUCAGUGCUGUCCUCCUGUCCUCUCCUCCCUGUCUGGUCUGGCUCCCCAAUCCCUUUUUCUGAGCUCUCAUGUUCUGUUCCAAACUGUAAACUCUGCCCCAUUUUACCUUCCCACUCAGAAUCCUCCCUCUGCAUGUGACCUCCAACCUCCCCUCCCCUUCUCAACCCCUUUGUCCUCUUCCUCACUUCCACUACAGUGACUCUGGGGAAGAAAAAGAGAGGCAAGGUAACUUACAGUAAAAGUAAACCCAGGAGGGCCAUUUCUCUCCUGCCAGCACAGCGUACUCCCUACCACCCUCUCUCUCACCCUCUGUUCUGUCAAGUCUUGCAACUCAUUCUCCCUCAGGCUGUUGCUCCCCUAUCCCUCACCUAUCUGGGUACCAAUAGUCCCUUUCUCACUUUGCCUUCCUGAUUUCUUGCUUUCAGGUCAGGUGCUUCCACUAGGAGGGCUGUGAGAUGCUGCUGGGAACCUUAUGCUGCCUGGUGACAGCUUUGUGGAGCCACUGAGCAGGAAGACAGUCUGGCUCCAAGGGGCUUCCAAACAGAAGGGCAGGACAUUGCCCUGUACAGGAGGGUCGCAGGCCCUGCUGGAUGCCAAUGUGCUGGUGGCCCAGAGAAGAGUGAUUGCAGUGCUCUAGCAGUGCCAGGAGCAUCCAGGGCAGAGGGAACAGGGGCCCCUGGAGGCUGCCAUCAAGGGCAUGAGACAGGCACUGGCCUUGAGUCUGCAUCACAUCCUGCAGCAGGCUUGGAGACUGGCCAGACAGCUGGAGGCAGCACGUGGCAUCGAAGCCAGUGGUGGCAGGAUGGGAAUGAUGUGCUAUCCUGGGACAGAGCUGUGGAUCCCAGCCCUGUAUGGGAUGGAGAUCCCAGACUCUGAGGGCUCAGGACUCAUGGUGCCCCUCCUGGGUAUGCAGCAAGAUGGCAAUUCUGGUAAUGCCACACCGCUGGCAGGCUCAAUGGAAGAUGCUGAUGGUAAAGGUCUUGUCCCAAUUUCCAUUGGGGCUCAAGCCGUAGACCCCUUGACUGGAGAGCCUGGUCCUGUCAUUGGUGCUCAAGAGGAUCCUUUUGGCAGUGUGGUGGUGCCUGUUGUACAGGUGCUAGAGGCCUUGCCUUGAGGAGUGAGAAACCCUGAUCUGUGGGACCUCCUGGAGCGGGAGCUGAGAGCAUGACAGCAGUACUGGCACCACCAGGAACAGGAGGAGGAACGCCUAGUGGAACACCUAGAGUACCUGAGCCAGGAACUCCACGGUUCACGCAACAACAUCAGGCUGCAGCUGAAAGCUUCCAAGGAGGCCUGUGCAGCCCUGGAGGGCUGCUGCCUGCAAGAGACAGAGCGGAGAACCAGAGCUAUGAGCAUGCUCAGCAGCCCAGAGCAGGGCCUGCUCUUUCAAGCAGACAGACAAGAGUGGGAAGAGGAGGCUCAGGUGGCACUGGGCAUGAAGAAGGUCCUGCAGAAGGUCCUGCAGAGUUUAGAGCAAGCAGCAGCAAAGCUCAGUCAAGCAUCGGUCAGGCUGCAGGGCCAGGAGGAAGAGAUAUGGCUGCAACAGGGUAGGAAUCAGAACCCACAAGUCGGGAACCAUCCCAGGAAGGUAGUCCAGCAUCUUUCUGAUGCAUUCCAGAAGAUGGUGAGGGAGAGACAGAACGUCUUAGACAGGGCCCGUGGUCAGCUGCAGUACCAACGGGAGCUGAGCCUCCUCCAGCUCUUGCACACACAGGAACCAGGCAACUGCCUGCCCACUGUUAAUCGCAUUCCUGAAAAUCCUCACUGCAGUGGUAGAGGGAGAUCAAGAACACAGUCUAGGGCUGGAGGAUCAAAAGCCAAGAGCAGAUAAAGUUGACACCAUCUGGGCCUCACCAUUCUCCAUCCUGAAGAAAACAGACAUCUGGUCCCAAGCCCACAAAGAAGGAGCUGAACUGCAAGGACAAGAGCAUCAUGAACCAGAUGAGGAAACUGAAGCUUCUGAAUAGGUCAAACUCAAAAAGCUUUUUGCAGGAUCUCCUAAAACCUCAGACAAUGGAGAAGAAAACGCUAAUAACUGUGCAAACCACAAACCUUUCUGCUAGGGAGUUUGUGGUUUAUCGACACGGCCUGUCUGUCCUGCAUCUCCUCAUCCCCCAGCUUCAUGCUCCAGAAAUCACUCUGCAGAUUGUUUCUCAUCUUCCUGCCAUGGAAGCCUCCGGCAAUGCCUUCCAAGGUUCCUUCUUCUAUCAGAGUCCUGAAAAUACAUUGUAUGUUGGUAGAGAGUGUUUGGAAUCUGUGGGAAGCUUUGUUCGGCUGUUGAUCCACUGCCUGGCCCACAUUGCUGCUGGAGAUCUCCACCAGGACUCCAACCCCACCUUUCUGAGAUCAUUUUAUGAGGGGCUGAAGGCCUAUUUCAGAGAAGCAUUCUCUACCACAUUGCAAAUGUCAGCAGUUGCCUGGGAUAGUAAGCUUGACCAAAGCAUAAGUGCUAUUCUCCUGGAAGAGCAGCCCAUUUCUGAAAGAGAGAAAGAUAUUCUCUCUAAACUCAUUGAAAGGAAGCAUGGGUGUCAUUUAGAGCCAAGGUCAUCAGAAGAGUACAUUGAGAAAAACAAAGAUCUUCUCUUUUUCACCAAUAUGGAACAUUUCCUGAAAAGCAUCCUUGCAUCAGAGCAACAAAUUCUAGGAAUAUCAAGAGAUCAAUUUGGGGGUGAAGAUAAGAUCUAGAAACAAAAUGGUGAUCUCACCUUAGCCUGCAUGAUUAAGAGGCUAAAUGUAUCAAUACAUGGGAAGAAGCUAAAAUGAAUUCUUGAAAAUGUUUAUUAUUCAUAAAUAAAUGACAUAAAUCUAUUUUAUAGUCUUGGGUAUAUAUGUAAUAGGAGCUAAUGUUUGCAAGAGAAGAUAAGGAACCUGCCAAUAGUUUCACUGUGACUAGAGGAGAC
Molecule: long non-coding RNA, 6205 nt
Organism: Heterocephalus glaber (naked mole-rat)
Lineage: Eukaryota; Metazoa; Chordata; Mammalia; Rodentia; Bathyergidae
Source: Ensembl